RNAcentral lists this ribosomal RNA (186 nucleotides) under uncultured bacterium. RNAcentral describes it as "partial 16S ribosomal RNA". It matches the Rfam family "Bacterial small subunit ribosomal RNA", at positions 327 to 509 of the family's 1533-position model. The record is from RNAcentral.
AGAGCUAGCCUACGGGGGCAGCAGUAGGGAAUUUUCGUCAAUGGGCGCAAGCCUGAACGAGCAAUGCCGCGUGAACGAGGAGGGUCUUCGGAUCGUAAAGUUCUGUUGAAGGGGAAAAAGAGCGGAGAGAGGAAAUGCUUUCUGAUUGAUAUUACCCUUCGAGGAAGUCACGGCUAACUACGUGCC